UACGUAGGGUGCGAACGUUAUUCGGAAUCACUGGGCUUAAAGGGCUCGUAGGCGGCCAACUAAGUCAGACGUGAAAUCCCUCGGCUUAACCGGGGAACUGCGUCUGAUACUGGAUGGCUUGAGUUUGGGAGAGGGAUGCGGAAUUCCAGGUGUAGCGGUGAAAUGCGUAGAUAUCUGGAGGAACACCGGUGGCGAAGGCGGCAUCCUGGACCAACACUGACGCUGAGUGAGCGAAAGCCAGGGGAGCAAACGGG
Molecule: ribosomal RNA, 254 nt
Filed under: uncultured bacterium
Lineage: Bacteria
Description: partial 16S ribosomal RNA
Rfam family: Bacterial small subunit ribosomal RNA
Source: RNAcentral